This 490-nucleotide ribosomal RNA is filed under the name uncultured bacterium. RNAcentral's name for it is "partial 16S ribosomal RNA". It matches the Rfam family "Bacterial small subunit ribosomal RNA", at positions 30 to 507 of the family's 1533-position model. The record is from RNAcentral.
AGUGAACGCUGGCGGUAGGCCUAACACAUGCAAGUCGAACGGCAGCACAGGAGAGCUUGCUCUCUAGGUGGCGAGUGGCGGACGGGUGAGGAAUACAUCGGAAUCUGCCCAGUCGUGGGGGAUAACGUAGGGAAACUUACGCUAAUACCGCAUACGACCUUCGGGUGAAAGAGGGGGAUCGCAAGACCUCUCGCGAUUGGAUGAGCCGAUGUCGGAUUAGCUAGUUAGCGGGGUAAUGGCCCACCAAGGCGACGAUCCGUAGCUGGUCUGAGAGGAUGAUCGGCGGCACUGGAAGGGGGACAGGGGCCAGACGACUGAGAGAGGCAGCAGAAGGGUAUAGUAGGCAAUGGGCGGGAGCAUGAUACAGCGAGAGGGCGUGGGUGAAGUAGACGUUCGGGGUGUGAAGACCGUUUGAUGGGAGAGAAACGUUUUAGGCUAAUAACAAGGGUGGAUGAAGGUACCGGGUGAAGAAGCACCGGAUAACUACGUG